GACGAACGCUGGCGGCGCGCUUAACACAUGCAAGUCGAACGGAAAGGCCUGCUUUCCCUUGUGGAUUGCGGGUCCUCGAGUGGCGAACGGGUGAGUAACACGUGAGUGAUCUGCCCCCAACUUGGGUAUAAGCCUGGGAAACAGUGUCUAAUUCCCGAUAGGACUGCAGGGUUGUGCCUGUGGUGGAAAACGUUUUUCUAGUGGUUGGGGAUGAGCUUGCGGCUUAUCAGCUUGUUGGUGGGGGAAUUGCCUACCAAGGCGGCGACGGGUAGCCGGCCGGGGAUGGUGGACGGCCUCAUUGGGACACAGACACGGCCCAGACUGCUACGGGAGGCAGCGGGGGGGAAGAUUGGAGAAUGGGCGGAAGCCUGAUGCAGCGACGCAGCGUGGGGGAUGACGGGAUUCGGAUUGUAAACUCCUAGCGACGGCGAGGAAGGUAACUGGUUGGACGGGUGGUGACGGUAGUGGUACAGGAAGCCACGGCUAACUACGUG
Molecule: ribosomal RNA, 494 nt
Filed under: uncultured bacterium
Lineage: Bacteria
Description: partial 16S ribosomal RNA
Rfam family: Bacterial small subunit ribosomal RNA
Source: RNAcentral